RNAcentral lists this ribosomal RNA (1467 nucleotides) under Harmogaster sp. NLG-2014. Its description in RNAcentral is "partial 16S ribosomal RNA". Lineage: Eukaryota; Metazoa; Arthropoda; Insecta; Coleoptera; Scarabaeidae. The record is from RNAcentral.
AUAGUUAUGUUCUUGAAAUUUAAAAAAUUUGGCGGUACUUUAGUCUUUUUAGAGGAACCUGUUCUGUAAUUGAUAGUCCACGUUUAAUUGUACUUUUUUUAAAAAUUUGUAUAUCGUCGUGGUUGAAUGUCUUAAUAGAGAGAAAUAUUCAUUAUUUAUAAUUAUAAUUGAAAUCAGAUCAAGGUGCAGUUUAUAUAAAAGAAGAAAUGGGUUACAAUAAAUUUAUUUAUACAGUUAUUAUAAUUAAAAUUGUUUUAUAAGGUGGAUUUAAAAGUAAUAUAAUUAAAUUAAAUUAUAUGAUUAAAGCUCUAAAGUAUGCACAUAUCGCCCGUCGCUUCCGUUAAUAUGGAAUAAGUCGUAACAAAGUGAGGGUACCGGAAGGUGUUCUUAGGUUGUCAAAUUAAAGUUUAUUAAAAUAUUUUAUUUACAUUAAAAAGUUAAUUGUGAGAUUCAAUUUAAUUUGAAUUUAUUAAUUUAUUAAGUUUGUUUUAAUAAAAGUAUUUUUUGUUUUUUUAUUUUAAAAAGAUAAAAAUUUUUUAAUUAUAGUUUAUUAGUAUAGUGAUAGAAAAUUUAAAUAUUAUGAAAUAUUUAAGUAUUUUAAAGAAAAUUUUAUUUUUUGUACCUUGUGUAUCAGGGUUUAUUUAAUAAUAGUUAUUUAUUUUAAUUUUCUCGAAUUUAAAAGAGUUAAUAAAUUAUAUAUUUUAUUGUAAAAUAAAUAUUUAAAAUAAUUUAUUAGUAAUGAAAUGUUAUUCGUUUUUAAAUAUAUCUAGUUUUUUAAGAAAUAAAUUUAAUUUAUCUAUUUAUUUUAAUUGAAUUUUUUAUUUAAUUUUAAUUAAAUAAUUGAGUAAUAACUUAUGGGAUGAGCUUUAAGUUUGAUUUAUAUAAAUUAAUUUUGAUUUAAAAAUUUUAUAGGAUUAGAAAUUUCUUUUUAGUUUGUUAUAAUAAAUUUUUAUUUUAAUAUAAUUUUUUUUUAUUUUAUAUACUUAUUAAAAUAAUUUAUAGAAUAAUAUAAUAUAUGUAAUAAUGAUAAAAUUAGUAUAUUUUAAUGUGUAAUAUAUUAGGUUUGUUAGGUUAAAUUAAGGAAUUCGGCAAAUAUUUUUUCGCCUGUUUAUUAAAAACAUGGUUUUUUGAUAAUGAUUUAAAAUUUGAUCUGCCCAAUGAAUUAUUUAAAUGGCCGCAGUAUUUUGACUGUGCAAAGGUAGCAUAAUAAUUUGUUUUUUAAUUGAAAACUGGUAUGAAUGGUUGGACGAGAAAAAUACUGUCUCAGUUUAAUUUAAUUAGAAUUUUAUUUUUAAGUUAAAAAGCUUAAAUAAAUUUAAAAGACGAGAAGACCCUAUAGAGUUUUAUAUUAUUUUUUUUUGUAUUUAUUUAGAAUUAUUUUAUUUAUUAAUUAAAGUAAUAUUUUAUUGGGGUGAUAGAAAAAUUAAAUAAACUUUUUUUUUAUUUUAACAUUGAUUAAUGAAUAUA